RNAcentral lists this ribosomal RNA (377 nucleotides) under Salmonella sp. 32040203-2019-00004. RNAcentral describes it as "bacterial SSU rRNA". It matches the Rfam family "Bacterial small subunit ribosomal RNA", at positions 1 to 374 of the family's 1533-position model. Lineage: Bacteria; Pseudomonadati; Pseudomonadota; Gammaproteobacteria; Enterobacterales; Enterobacteriaceae. The record is from RNAcentral.
AAAUUGAAGAGUUUGAUCAUGGCUCAGAUUGAACGCUGGCGGCAGGCCUAACACAUGCAAGUCGAACGGUAACAGGAAGCAGCUUGCUGCUUCGCUGACGAGUGGCGGACGGGUGAGUAAUGUCUGGGAAACUGCCUGAUGGAGGGGGAUAACUACUGGAAACGGUGGCUAAUACCGCAUAACGUCGCAAGACCAAAGAGGGGGACCUUAGGGCCUCUUGCCAUCAGAUGUGCCCAGAUGGGAUUAGCUUGUUGGUGAGGUAACGGCUCACCAAGGCGACGAUCCCUAGCUGGUCUGAGAGGAUGACCAGCCACACUGGAACUGAGACACGGUCCAGACUCCUACGGGAGGCAGCAGUGGGGAAUAUUGCACAAUGG